RNAcentral lists this long non-coding RNA (15962 nucleotides) under Panax ginseng (ginseng). RNAcentral describes it as "long non-coding RNA (PGIN_LNC011811)". Lineage: Eukaryota; Viridiplantae; Streptophyta; Magnoliopsida; Apiales; Araliaceae. The record is from RNAcentral.
CGAGUUAUAAUUCCAAUACUUUCUUACUACCUCCAUCCUUUUUUCCUAUUUUUGUAGUUAUAUCAAAUAUUAAAAUUGAAAAUUCAUAGAAUGGUAAGAAGAUAUUAAUACCUUAAAAUAGCGGGCUGAGCCAUGUGCCUUUGUUCCGGUCCAAGCUGUUGUUGUUUUUGCUAAACCUGUUUACUCAAAAACUAAUGAACAAAAUUGCAUCAAUACAAUAUCAUUCAGUUAAAGCACAAGAACAAAUUCUAACAAAACUUCUUCUUACUUGCAAAUAUCAACAUUGAAUCAAUUCCAACCAAUUGAAUCUCCUUCUUCUUGCACAAUCUUUAACUUGCGUUAACAGUGAAUUCUACAUUACAAAAAUUCCACUUAACCUCUCUCCUAGGAACAAUCUUUACCUUACAUUAACAGUAAUUUCACAUUACAAAUUUUUCCUUUAGCACAACCAUACCGAGAUAUAGAGAUAAACAGAGAACUCCUCCUUAAAGUAUUACAAAUACUGAUACAUGAAAAUAUUCAUCCAGAAUCCCUUUACAAUAUAAUAGCAAAUAAAGUAAUGGUAAUCAAUAACCACCACCAUCACAACUCAUUCAAGCAAAACCAAGUAAAAAGAAUUAUUAUAUUUCAAAAUAGUGUGCAGAAUUGCACACUUCUCAUGUGUUUGUCAGCCCAUAAAUCAAUCUAUAAAUAGAAAUUGCAGCAUUUUUGUGCUAUUGUACCCGUCAUCUGCUGCUUAAUGCUGUUGAUUUUUGGUUCUAUUAGUGAACCAAUCCAUAAGUAGAAAUUGCAGCUCGUAUGUUGCUUAAUGUUGUUUCCGAUACAUAAAUAGAAAUCGCUACUUAAAUGGCUAGUUGUUUGGUAGUAGUGUGGGAAUGCCAUCGACUGGAGUUUGGGUUGUUUUUAUGUUGUUGCCUCUUUCGUUCUAGUGGCAAGCUUAUGUGCUAUAUCACCUGUUUCUCCAUGUUGUUGCUUUAGGUUAUUCCAUAGUAACUAGUGUACUGCUGUGGUUCAGCAGCCACUGCGCUGCUAUAAUUUGGUGUGCUGCUACUAUUGUUCCUUAAUUAGUCUAGUUCAGACUACUCUUAUUAUACAUAUAUAAACAUAUAUGCAAAUAUAUAUUACAUAUAUAUAUACCCACUUACCUAAAACUUCAAAACCUAUAAAGAUAACUCUUUCCUUCUCCUUUACCUACCCAAAACUCCCACCUCCGAAAUCCAAAUUCCACUAGUUUCUUACUGCUUCCCUCUUUUUUCUCUCUUUUUUCGUUUAUUCUUUUGUAGUUAUAGCAAAGAUUAUAGUUAAACUAUUAUAGAAUGAUAAUAUAUUAUUACCUUAGAGUAGCAGACAAGUGUAGUAGUGCUUCCGUGUUCAGGUCCAAAAAGAGUUCUCGUCAAACCUGCUGCAGCAUACAGGCAAACAUUAGAUGCACCAGAUAAACAAAUGUCUUGAUAUGAAUGCAUAUGCUUUCUUAUAUGAAAUAAUCAUUUAAACAAAUUCUGUUACAUACCUUUGUAUUUUCUUUACCCCUGUAAGCUAGUUGUGUACAAAAGCUCCUGAAAAGACGAAAGCUUCAUCAAUUUAAUAUACAUGAAUGGCAUAUAUGCAACAAUAGAGAUUUAUACCGACUUACAAACUACACCUUAUAAACUGAAAUUACAUACACUUGAUUAAAGAUGUUGGUAAAAAAGUUUCCAAAAUGUAAGAUCAAAAAAGAAAAUGAACAUAUGGAAAAUAUCUGACUUGAGCUGAUAUAGCCACAAAGCAAAAGUCUGGCGUAUGUACUUCUGUUUAGGUCUCUCUUCCCCUGUAUCUCUACCUAUAUAUACAUCCUCACACACAACAUACCGUGCACAGAUUCAAAUGCAUGACAUUAUUGUCUUUGAACCAAAAAUAAAUCACUCAAAUCAUGAGUCCAAAACAAAGUAUAUUAAGUUUGAAAUCCAGAUAAUGAUUGCAUUCUUCACAAACCAGCGGUCAAACAGGGCCUGAAACUGGAAAGUUCUGCCAAUGGUUCAAAUCCAUUGGACUAAAAUUAGCAAGGAAAAAGGCACAACAAAAAGAAGAAAAAACCAUGAUGAUAAUUAUAGUGAAAUUUAUUACUUUUAGGAAAAAAAUUAAUCAAGAAAUUUGUAACUGCAUUUUCAAACUAGCAGUUCAAAUCCAUUGGACUAAAAGUAGCAGGGGGGAAAAGCACAAGAAGAAGAAAGAAAGAAAGAAACAUGAUGAUGAUAGAGACUUAAUAGUUAGCAAAAAAAAUUAAUCAUGAAAUUUAUAUUAAAUGUGCAAAACAAAAUCUCAAAGAACAACGAAAGAUGAUGAUAAAGACCAUGUGAUAACACUGAUGAAAUUUAUUACUUAUCAAAAAAACUAAUGUAUUAUAUAUCAAAUGUGCAGGACUAUAGUAUCUACAAGAAAAAAAGUUAAGAUUGCAAUUUCAAGACAAGGAAACAACGGCUACCCAUAUAACAUAUACCAUCACGCAGAAGUUAGACACUACUGGGAUCAAAGCUAGAUUAGAAAUUUCAUAACAUUUCAACAUUAUAACCCCACCCCACCCCACCCCCUUCUACUUUCGUGAUUUCCUCAAAGGAUCCAAAUGUACAUAAAAAAAAUCACAAGUGAAAAAUACGAUGACUCCAAAACCUCGUGACAUAAACAAAGGUAUUACAGCAUAUAUUCUGUGAAAAUAUAUACACCUAGGCCUGUAAAAACUAAUAGAAAAAUGACUCGGGACAGUAUUGAGCCAACCUAUAAGGAAAUCAUUAAUGCAUGUGGAACUGUAAAGAACCAUAAGGAUGCAAUGUUAGAACAAGAUAGGGCACAAGCCUACUGAUCCAGAACAUAACUAACACUAAUCCAAUGAACUUUUCAACUUAUCAGAGCCUCACUAACCCACCAAUUGGGAUCAAGUACGCUGAACACUAGUCUCAACCAUUGUGCAUUCUAGGAAAUUUGAAACUUGAUAGUUAUGGGCCUUAUGGCACUAGCUGGAAAAUUAGGCAACAAUAAUUUUUAUUUUUAAUCAACAUAAUGUUUAAUUACAAAAGGGCAAAAAGCUAAAAGGACGUACAAAUAGUUUACUUACUAAAAACAGCUGCAGUAAAAAAACAAAAAGGACACAAAAAAAUGGUUUACGUAUCAACUUCAAAAAAAUCAAUGACCACGAAAUGAUUAUUUGGCUUCAAGAACUAUGUGAUAAGGGACGGAUAUUGGCCAAAACUCUAAAGCCAAUAUUGAAGAUCAUUUAAAAUACACAUAAUUGUGUUAGAGUAUAUAUCUUGUCCCACAUUAAAUACCUUGAGAAAAUAUGUCUAGUAUAUAAAUACUUGGGCCAACUCUUCUCAGAGCCAAUUGGUUUUGAGUUAGAGAGAUUGAUAUCUUUAUAAACUAAACUUUGGGCCCAUUUUAUAAAUGUAACAUGGAAUCAGAGCGGGAUAUCCUUGUUCUUAAAGGUUAAAGUUAUCCAUUUCUUAACUAGUACCACUUAUCAAUGGGCCAACAAUUGCCCAUGUUUACUAGCUUCUUCUGGGCUUGCUUAUUUUAUAUGCGUCUUCAUAUUCAUUAGGUCCACAUGCAACUCUCACACAGGUUACACAUGAGGGGGUGUUAGAGUAUAUAUUUUGUCCCACAUUGAAUACCUAGAGAAAAUAUGUCUAGUAUAUAAUAACUUGGGCCAACUCUUCUUAGAGCCAAUUGGUUUUAAGUUAGAGAGCUUGAUAUCUUUAUAUACUAAACUUUGGGCCCAUUUUAUAAAUCUAACAAAUUGAUAUAUACAAACAUGUGCUUGCACACGCGCAUUGUGGGAGGCAGAUGGAAAGUCAAAACGCAACGUGUCACACAUUGGAUAUAUGAACUAUAUUAAUCAACAAAUAAAACAGCUACAGAGAAAUAUCGAACAUUUGAAAUCAUGAUCAACUUUUUAAUAUCAAACUUUAGUCUAUAAGGUUUACUAGAAAAAAAAUAAUUCAUCAAAAUUGAAGUGUAAAUAAAAUAAUACUAAAAAUCGAACUAUUAUUUGUUUCGCAUAAAAUUUCAAGUAUCACACAUAUGUACAAAAAGUUAAUAUUACACAGGAAAUUAUAAUUAUCUCACAUAUGUACAGAAAGCCAAUAGUUGUAGAAUUUGCAAAGUUUCUCAACUUAGAGUACACUAAACAAUGUUUUAAAAAUGUUAACUCUUUAAGUAUAAAUCGAGAGAAGACAGAGCAGAAAGAAGCGCGUAAGAAAUCACCUGUAAUUAUUUUCUAGGCCUCAACAAGUUUGAUGUUCUGCAAUUUCUUGCUAAAAUCAAUUAGUUUCAGCAUCUUCAAUGUGCACACCCCUACAUGAGCAAAGAUUGUUGAAUGACUGAAAAAAAUGGUGCGUGAAAAUAUAUGUUAGAUUUAUAAAUGGUCCCAAAGUCUGGUAUAUAAAGACAUCAGACUCUCUAAAUAAAAACCAAUUGACAAUGAGAAGAGUUGACCCAAGUCAUUAUAUACUAGACAUAUUUUCUCAAGAUAUUCAAUGUGGGACAAGAUAUUAUAUACUCUAACACUCCCCCUCACGUGUAACCCGAUAUAUUGAGCGUUGCACGUGGACCUGAUGAAUAUGAAGACCCACGCAAGAUAAGUAAGUCCAGAAGAAGCUAGUCACAAGACAAGCCCAGAAGAAAUUUAGUAAACCACAGGCAACUAUUGGCCCAAUUGAUAAGUGGUACUAGUUAAGAAAUUGAUAACUUUGAUCCUUAAGAAAUGGGUUGUAAGUGGGUAAGAAUGAAGGCUAAGAAGAGUGUUCAAUUAGGCCCAUGAAUAGCUCGCUCUGAUACCAUGUUAGAUUUAUUAAAUGGGUCCAAAGUCUAGUAUAUAAAGACAUCAAGCUCUCCAACUCAAAACCUGGCAAUGAGAAGAGUUGGCCCAAAUCAUUAUAUACUAGACAUAUUGUCUCAAGAUAUUCAAUGUGGGACAUAAUAUUAUAUACUCUUAACAAUAUAUUAAUUUUUUGCAGUUCACAACUUUGUCAGAAAUCUAAUGAAUUGGGCAGGAAAGUAAAUAUAUAGUUUUUAAUACCCUAACCUCUUUCUAUAUUGCCAUAAUUAGAAGAAAAAAAAUACAUAUUCAUGACAUAAACGAAUGAUUCCUACCACUGCAACCUUUUAACUAGCCAUGGUUAUGGUUAGACAGUUGCAAUCUUGCAAACUUUAAUACUUAAUUAAGCAUCACUGGAACAAACAAUUCUACUUUCCAAAGUUCCCUAGACCGACUCAACCUAUAGUGACUUCAACUUUUAUGUUCUUUGUUUUUCUGAUAGUUAUGAUAUAAAUUGACUUCAAUUAAUUUAUGUAAAGUUUUUAGUUAGAUCUAAACCACCUGAUAUUUCCUACUUUAAAAACACUAAAAUAAACGGGAAUAAAAUUGAAUAUUAAAUAACCAUGACGACACACCAAUUAGAAAAUUAACUAUAGGAAAUCAAUAUUUUAUUUCGGAAACACAAAAAAUAAAACAACUUACUUAAUUUUGGAUAUCAAAAAGUAAGUAUCAAUACAGCAAAAACAAGAAUUUAAAGAACACAUAAUGUAUAGAAUAUAAACAACCAAACAAGGAACCAACAAACAAUAACCAAGAUACCAAAAUUUUGCAGUAGAUAAGUAUUAAAACAGACUCCACAAAAAGGAAAACUCAAAAGCACUACAUGGAUUGAAUAAAAUAACCCUUAUAAUGAACCCUCUCUUUCUAAAUCAUCAGAAUAAAGAGAGAGAAAAAGUCGGGAAAUAUUCAUGACAUGUUUCUAAGGAAAAAGCCUGUCAAUGCAACCUUUUUACUGGGCCAUGGUGAGAGAGUUACAAUCUAGCAAACUUUAAUACUUUUAUUCAAGCAUCACUGAAACAAACAAUUCUACUUUCCUAAGUUACCUAGACUCCCACUCAACAUAUUUACUUGAACUUUUUAGUUUCUUUGUUUACUUUUGACUUAACUUUUAGUUUCUUUGUUUUCUCACAGUAAUUAUAUAAAUUGACUUCAAUUUAUUUACUUGAACUUUUUAGUUAAAUCUAAACCACUUAAUAUUUUGCUUAUGAAUAUAAAUGAACAUUCCAUCAUCGUUACACCACACCAAUUAAGAAAUUAACUAUAGGAAAUCAAUAUUUUCCGAUGAUAAAAAAAGGGAAAAGAAACAAACUCAGAAACACAGACAGACACAUAUAUAUAUAGAGAGAGAGAGAGUCAACCUUAUCAUCCGGAAAAAAAUUCAAAUAACUUAUUUUACUUUUGGAUAUCAAAAAUUAAGUACUAAUAUAGCAAAACAAGAAUUUGAAGAACACAUUAUGUAUAGAAUAGAAACAACCCAUACUAAGAACCCACAAAUAAAAAUCAAGAUAUGAAAAUUUUCGAUAGAUAAAAGUAUUAAAAAAGACUCCACAUAAAAUAGCCCUUAUAACGAACUCGCAAAUCAAAACCAAGGUAUGACCAAAUAUUAAUAAAACCAACUCCACAAAGAAGAAAAUAUCAAAUGAAUUACUUUCUCUUAAUAUCAAAAUUUAAGCAUCAAUAUACACCAAAAACUAGAAUUUAUAGAACACAUGUUAACAUGGAUAUAGAAAGAUGUAAUUGUAGAUAAUCAAAAGAAAUCGAAAACCCAAUAUGAAAAGCAUUAUAAAAGAUAAAUAAAAACAUGUAAUUGAAUUUAAAGAACCCUAGAAUGCAAGAGAAUCCGAACCUCUCAAUGCCAUUACACAACACAUCGAAAGUUUCCAAAAAAUAUGAGGUUUGAAAUCCGAAAAAUAUCCACAUUCUUUAAAUUGGCGGUAAGACAAGACUAAAUCUAGAAAGUAGAACAUUCCGGUGCCAAUGACACAAAACAUAUAUUCUGUGAAAAUAUAUAGACCUAGGCCUGUGAAAACUAAGAGAAAAAUGACACGGGCAGGCAUUGAGUCAACCUAUAAUGAAAAAAUUAAUGCAGGUGAAACCAUAAAGAACCAAAAGGAUGCAAUGUUAUAACAAGGUAAUAGGACUACAAGCCUAUUGCUUCAGAACGUAACUAACAUUAAUCCAAUGAAUUUUUUUUUUCAACUUAUCAGAGCCUAACUAACCCAACAAUUGGGAUCAAGAACGUUGAACACUAGUCUCUACCAUUAUGCAUUCUAGGAAAUUUUAAACUUGAAAGUUGAUGGCACAAGCUGGAAAAGAUAAUAAUAAUUUUUAGUUUUAAACAACAUAAUGUUUAAAUACGAAAAGACAAAGCAUAGUUUACACAAAAAUUGUUUACACAUCAACUCUACAAAAUCAAUCACCACUAAAUGAUUGUUCAGCUUCAAGAACUGAGUGAUAAAGGACAUGAUAUAUACAAACAUGUGCUUGCACACACACGUGCAUUGUGGGAGGCAGAGGGAGAUAGAUGGAAAGUCAAAAGGCAACUCGUCACAAAUUGGAUAUAUACGAAUUAUAUGAAAUCUAUAUCAAUCAACAAAUAAAGUAGCUACAGAGAAAUAUCGAAUAUUUGAAAUCAUAGAAACUUCAAUAACCUACAAAAUUUCAUCAUUGAUCAUCAUAUAUUGGUGACAUUCAUUUUUAAUAUUUCUCCAAAUACUACUUUGGUUUGCAUAGGACAAUAAAUUUCGACUUUGUUACAUAGACUCUAUACUUUGCCCUAAAGUAUUACCUUAAAGUACCCAUGUCCGACACUCGACACACAUACAAGAGUAUGGGUACUGGACACUUCAUUUUAGUGCUAAAAGUUAGGAAAAUUGAGAAGUACCCGUGUUGGAUUCUACAAAAUACUGUGUCCAACCAUACACUCCAUCCAAGUCCGUGUAACAUAGUUUUUCGAUCAACUUUUUACUAAUAAACUUUAGUCUAUAAGGUCUACUAGGAAAAAUAAUAAUUCAACAAAAUUAAAAGUGUAUACUAUGCAUAAAGAAUAUUAAAAAAUCAAUAAAAGGCCAAAACUAUUAUGUUCAACACUAAGACCUCACAUAUACUAGGGCCUGGUUCAUGCAAGCUCAUUCUAGGCUAGAAUCUUAGAAUGCUUAAGUAUGCACCAAGAAAAAUUAAGAAUUGAACCAUUAUUUGUUUCACAUAAAAUUAUAAUUAUCUCACAUAUGUAGAAAAAAAGUUAAUAUUUCACAAGAAAUUAUAGUUAUGUUACAUAGUGUACAGAAAGUAAAUAAUUGUAGAAUUUGUAAAGAUUCUCAACUAAGAGUACACUGAUAUUGUUUUUAAAAUGUUAAGCAACUGUUGGUGAAAGAAGACAGAGCAGAAAGAAGCACAUAAGAACUCACUUGUAAUAAUUUUUCUUGGCCUUAACAAGUUUGUUGUUUUGAUAUUUCUUGCUAAAAUCAAAAUAUAACAUCUUAAAUGUGCACACCCUAAAUGAGCAGAGAUUGUUUGAAUGACUGAAAAAAACGGUGCAUCAAAAUAUCUUAGUGUUCUGCAGUUCUACUUUUUUAGAAUUCCAAUAAAUUGGGUCGAGGAAAGAAAAGAUAUACUUUUUAAUACUCCCUCUUUCUACAUUACCAUAUAAUAAAAAUAUUCAUGACAUAAACGAAGGAGAAAGCAGUGCAAUUUUUUUACUGGCCAUGGUUAGAGAGAGUUGCAAUCUAACAAAUAAAGCAUCUACAAAGAAAUAUCGAAUAUUUAAAAAUCAUAGCAACUUCAAUAACCUAAAAAAUCUCAUCAUUGAUCAUCAUAUAUUGCUCACAUCCAUUUUUAAUAUUUCUCCAAAUACUACUAUGGUUUGCAUAGGACAGUAAAGGCAAUACUUCUAGACAAGACAAUACUUUUCGACUAUGUUACAUGGAGUCUCUACUUUGCCCUAAAAUAUUUCCCUAAAGUACCCGUGCCCAAUAUUCGACACACGGACAAGGAUAUAUGGGUACUAGACACUUUAUAUUUUAGUGUUAAAAGUUAGAAAAAAUGAGGAAUACCAAUGUCGAAUUCUACAAAAAAUAUUGUAUCCAACCGAACACUCCAUCCAAGUCCGUGUAACAUAGCUUUUUGAUCGACUUUUUACAAGUAGACUUUAGUCUCUAAGGUUUACUAGGAAAAAUAAUAAUUCAACAAAAUUAAAAAUGAAUACUAUGCAUAAACAAUAUUAAAAAAUCAAUAAAAGAACAGAACUAUUAUUCUAAUAGUACCUCACAUGUAAACUCUAGUAUUAGGACCUGGGAAAUGCAAGCUCAUUCUUGGCUGAAAUCUUAGAGUGCUUAAGUAUGCACCAAGGGAAAUUAAGAAUUGAACCAUUAUUUAUUUCACAUGAAAUUAUAAUUAUCUCACAUAUGUACAAAAAGCUAAUAUUUCACAUGAAAUUAUAAUUCUUACAUAGGUACAGAAAGCAAUAGUUGUAGAAUUUGAAAAAGCUUCUCAACUUAGAGUACACUGAUAUUGUUUUAAAAAUGUAAAGUAACUGUUGGUGAAGUACAAGAGGAAAGAAGACAGAGUAGAAUGAAGCGCAUAAGAACUCACAUGUAAUAAAAAAAAUUGGCCUCAACAAGUUUGUUGUUCUGAUAUUUCUUGCUAAAAUCAAUAUAUAACCUCUUCAAUAUGCACACCCCUAAAUGAGUAAAGAUUGUUGAAUGACUGAAAAAAACGGUGCAUCAAAAUAUCUUAGUGUUCUGCAGUUCUGCUUUAUUGGAAUUCCUAUAAAUUGGGCCAAGGAAAGCAAAUAUAUACUUUUUAAUACCCUCUCUUUCUACAUUGCCAUAACAAGGGGAAAAAAGACAUUCAUGACAUAAACGAAGGAGAAAGCCCCCGUCAGUGCAAUCUUUUUACUGGCCAUGGAUAGAGAGUUGUAAUCUAGCAAACUUUAAUAUUUUUAUUCAAGCAUCACUGAAACAAACAAUUCUACUUUCCAAAGUUCCCUAGACUCCCACUCAACAUAGUGCCUUCAACUUUUAAUUUCUUUGUUGUCCUGAUAGUAAUAAUACAAAUUGACUUCAAUUAAUUUAUUUGAACUUUUUAGUUGUCAAACCACUGUUAUGCCCUGCUUCAAAAAAUGUUAACUACAGGAACAAAAACAAAUAUUAAAUUACCGUUACAACACACCAAUUAGAAAAUUAACUACAGGAAAUCAAUAUUAUAUUUUGGAAAAAUAAAUACACAGGUAACAAAAAAAUUUCAAAUAACCUAAGCUAUUUGGAUAUCAGAAAAUAAGCGUCAAUACAGCAAAAACAAGAAUUUAAAGAACACAUCAUGUAUAGAAAUAGAAACAACCCAUACAAGGAACCACACAUAAAACCAAGAUAUGAAAAUUCUGUAGAUAAGUAUUAAAAACAAACUACACAGAAAAGGAAAAACAUAAAGAACACAACACAUUGAAUAGAAUAACCCUUAUAACAAACCAGCAAAUGAAAAUCAAGAUACAACCAGAUAUUAAUAAAGCAAAAUCUAGAUAUUCUUCAGACUAGCCCUCAAACAGGACUGAACUAGAAAGUAGAACUUUCCAGUGCCAACGGUUCAAAUCCAUGAACUAAAAUUUGCAAGGGGGAAAAAAGCACAACAAGAAGAAGAAAGAAAGAUGAUGAUAGAGACAAUGAUAAUAAUGAUGAAAUUUAUAACUUAGCAAAAAAAAUUAAUCAUGAAAUUUAUAUUAAGUGUUCAUAAUAAAAGCUCAAAGAACAACGAAAGAUGAUGAUAACAAAUACGAUGAAAAUAAUGAUGAAAUUUAUUACUUAUCAAAAAAAUUUAAUGCUGAAAUUUAUAUCUAAUGUGUAGAAUGAAGCUUACAUAUCUACCAGUAGAUUAGGUCAAUGUAGUAUCUACGAGGAAAAAAUAAAGAUUGCAACUUUAAGACAAAGAAACAAUGGCUACCCAUAUAACACGUACCAUGCAUUAGUAAGACACUACUAGGAUCAGAAUUGGAUUAGAAAUUUCAGUACAUUUCAGCACUAUGCCCCCCACCCUCUUUCAAAGUUGCUUCCACUUUCAUGAUAUCCUCAACGGAUCCAAAUGCAUCAAAAAAUCACAAGUUCAAAACUACUUAUAUGAAGUUUGAAAUCCAGAAAAUAUCUACAUUCUUCAAAUUAGCAGUAAACAGGACUAGAACUAGAAAGUAGAACUUUCCAGUGCCAAUGUCUCAAAACAACUCGUGACAUAAACAAAGGUAUUACAUCAGAUUUUCUGUGAAAAUGUAUAGACCUGGGUCUGUGAAAACUAACAAAAUAAUGACAUGGGACAGCAUUGAGUCUACCUAUAAGGAAAAAUUAAUGCAAGUGAAACUGUGGAAAACCAAAAGGAUGCAAUGUUAUAACAAGGUAAUAUGACUACAAGCCUAAUGAUCUGGAAUGUAACUAACACUAAUUUUAUAAACAUUUCAACUUAUCAAAGCCUCAAUCGCUAAUUCAACAAUCGGGAUCAAGUAUGCUGAUCACUAGUUUAAUGAACUAAUAGUUUCUAGGAAAUUUGAAACUUGAUAGAUAAUGGCACUAACCAGCAAAAUAGAAUAUUAGAUAAUAAUAAUUUUUAUUUUUAAACAAAAUGAUGCUUAAAUAUGAAAAGUAAAAGCUGAAACGACAUAAUAGAUACUUUACUUACUAGAGAAAGUUGCAAAAAAAUAAAGGAAAAGACAAAAAUAAAAGAAGAGGAAUUAAAAUUAAAAGUAUACUUAAAAAUAGGAUGUUUGGCUCCCCCUGUAAUAAACUUUUCACUUGAAUUCACUCACCAAGUGAAUAAUAACUGACAAAAGUAUACAACUUUUGCAAUUUUGAAUCAUCUAUUCAUGUACUGUGUGUGUGUAUAUGUAAAAAUUGGGUGGGAGUAUUGCUUUCUGACCAAUACCCACUAGUGGAGCCGCCAAUAACACCAUCAACCAAAAUAGGAGAAUCUGUGGACAUAUAACCAAUUAUAUUACUCCUUUUGUACCAAAAAAAGAGAGUUCUAAGUGUUAAUUCUUGGGUAACUUUCACGUGACCACCCGAGGUUUCACCAAUUUCCCACAUGACCACCUAUAGUCCAGAAAGCUACACUUAAACAGCUGAGAUUUUGAGGUGAAGUGAAAAAGUUACAUUUUCCUUCUAAACUAACUGUGCGUGCUGGCAACUCGCCUAAAGAGUAUGAUGCAUAGUUCUAACAGUCAAAUGAGGUGAGAAAUUGUCCAAUAUACCCCCAUCAUAUACAUUGGCUAUAAGUCCCACUUCCUUACAUUUGUUCACCCUUGGGAGCUCUUUUCUACCCUAGAACAUUUGUAACUUCUCUCUAGCUUUGAUCAAGGAUGUUAAUUCAUCAUAUUCACAAGGUAUGAAGAUCAACUAAUUUCUUCUCUAACUUUACUUUAUUUUCAUAAAUUUAUUGUUGUUAUUCAAUUUAAAAGUUGCCCUUAAGGUGUUUGCUAAAAUGCCUCAUCCCUUCUUUCUCUUGUUUAUGUGAAUUAGGAGUCAUGUCUUUCGCUACAUACCUAGAGUAUGUAGAUGUGAAAAGAAGGCAUUUGAUAAGAAUUGUCGACUCGAACAAACCAUCGUAGGGCAAAUUUGUAUUUUAUAUGUGAUGACUGUGACUUUUGGACAUGGUACUUGCCUUUUACAACAACCUCAAGUGGGACAAUGACUGGCAUUAAUGAACACAACGAGGGAAUGGGGACAGUGGUGAGGGGAACAGCAUGCAAGUGUCCUGAGCAUAAUAAUCUACCUGCUAGGAUGAUGAUUGUUGAAAGCUAUGUGAAGAUAAUAAUGAUUGUUGGACUUGUGUUAUAUCUCAUGUCAUUCAAGAUGUCUUUUAGUAGUAAGAAAUGAAAGUUUGUAACGUGUAAUGGAAUCUGUAAUGUUCUCAAUUCAAUUAAAUGGAAUCCUAAUGCUAUAUUAUAUAGUCUUCAGUUUCAACUUGUGCACAACUGAAAAUGAAAAAGAAUUGACUAAGGCAAAUAAAUAACAUCUAAUUAGAGAGACAAAAGAAGAUACCAUUAACUGGCAUCUCAAAUGAACAACAUCAAUUCAUUCAUUAACUUCAUUCAAUUAACCAAGAAUUUACAUAUCAAAUGUUUGGCCAAAAACUUCACCAAAAAUACCAACUGGCCAAGACUUUUACGUAACAAAGACUUCAUUCAAUUAACCAAAUUUAACAACUGGCCAAAAAAUACACCUACUACCAACAAUACCAACUAUACCAAACUGUACCAAUAAUAAUCCCAAGACUGAAUAUAUCAAAUGUUUGGCCAUAUCAAACUGUACCAAAAUACUAAACUGGCCAAACAUACCAACUAUACCAAAAACAAGAAACUGUGCCAAAAGUAGACAAGCACUAGUGAACAUCUAAAUAAUACCAAAGUAUCAAAAAACAUAAACUGAAAUAACCCAAGGCAAAGUCAAAGCCUUACACCCCCCCCUCCCCUCCCUGCCUUCUUUGGUGAAACCAAUCUGCCCUUGGAUGCUAACUUCUUUGAAACUGGUUUGCUCUUCAACACUACACCCUACAUAUUCAAUUACUGGUUCUUGAACAAAAGUCCCACCAUAAUAAAAUAUUAUUCUCACAAACAUUUUGCAUUAAAAAGAUGCGGGAGAAAGGUUUGAAUAAGACAUAUUUCUUGAUAAACAAAAUCAAAUUAUAGGGGACCAAAACAAGUGGGACAUAAAAAAUUGACCAUGCCAAAAGAACAUAUAUUAUUACAGAGUAGACCAAACAAGUGGGGACAGAUGCUUAAAGAAAUGGGACAUUAAAUUACUCUUAUCACAUGUAGGGACCAAACUCAACCACCAAAUCCAUCAUAUUACACAAUCCCCAAAUAAAUUAGACAAUUAUACUACUACAAAAGUGGGGAAAAAAACACUGCAUACAUACAUACAUAUAGACACUUUACAAAAAUCCAAACACAACCACGUUAUAGCAUAUAAUAAAGCUAUGAUACACAAAUACCAAAAAUAAAGUAAAUAUUCUACUACAAAAAGUGGUUCAAAACACUGCAUGCAUAAAUAACCACCAAAACUCCAAUCACAAUCAUAUCAUCAUAUUAUAGUACAUACAGUAAAGAAAAAAACAACAAAAAGUGGCUAACAACUAGACAAAAGAUUACCUCAAUCUGCAGCUGCUUAAACCUCCUACUAUGAAUGACUCCUCAGCUCCAAGAACCAAUUUUUAGCACCAAAUCACAAUUAAUCGAGUCAAUAACUAUAAAAGCCCCUUAAAUCGCCAUCCAUUCCACUCAAAAUCGAAGAAGAUUUCAAGAAAAACCCUAAAUCACUACAUAUUUCUCGCUCUAUUUCGCUCUCUGCAAACCCUAAGCUCAAACGACACAAAUUAGCCUCAAAGCCUGAAUUCUAUACUUUAUAUUCGAAAGACAAAUCUGUCUUUAGCCAUUUAACAUCACGGAGUUAACACAGAAAGCACUUUUUAACUUCACCUCAAAACCUCAAGUGUAAGUGUAGCUUUCUAGACUACAGCUGGUCGUGUGAGAAAUUGGUGAACCUUAGGUGGUCAUGUGAAAUUUACCCUUAAUUCUUUUUUUCUCACAAAAAAAGUUGAUUAUUUCAAUUUCAUUCUUUUAUACCAUACCACUAAACUGACAACCUUUUUAAAGAAUACAUAUAAAGUUUAUAAGCGACGAACAAAGUUAAUAAAGUUUUUCGAUGGAUUGACUAAAAGUCAUACAACGUGUCUCUUUGUGUGUGAGAAAGAAAGGGAGGGGAGAGAGAGAGAGGGAGACAGUUAAUUUGCUUAAUUCGUCAAAUUAACCUCUAAACUUUCAAAUUUCCAACCAAAUAUCUGUUUGCCAAUUAUGAUAAAAUGAAUUAAUAAAUUCAAAGCAUAAGCUUAAAUAAAACUCCUCUUAAAGGCCAUACACGCUGACAAGUCAAUUAACUCACAAAAUGAAAUGGCUUACUAUACAAAAUAAAUAGUAAACAUGUUUAUACUAUAUACUCAGAGAGCUAUUUCAGUAAACUGCGUAAUCUAUGAAGAUGAUAUACACAUGUUACUUCUACAUCCUGGCUGCUAGUUGUUUCUAGUUCUAUGGUGAUGACAAAAGAUAGGUACAAAAAAUUGGAUACAAAAAUGAUGUGUCUAAUUAUAAUUAGUUGAUGUUCCACCAUAAAUAAAUGGGUCCCAUGGUUAUAAUCAAAUACCAUCAUACACAUCAUUUUAUAUCCAAUAUUUCGUCACCAAAACAUUAUUGAGAAACGAAUGGUUUAUUCAUCAACUCCACACAAAAUCAAUGAUCACAAAAUGAUUAUUUGGCUUCAAGAACUUGGUACCAAGGGACGGAUAUUUGCCAAAACUCCCGAACAAUACUGAAUAUCAUUUGAAACACACAUAAUUGAUAAAUAAAAACAUGUGCGUGCACACAGACACUUGCAUUGUGGAGGCAAAGGGAGAGAGAGAGAUGGUAAGUCAGACGGCAAUGGGUCACACAUAGGGUAUAUGAAAUCUAUAUCAAUCAACAAAUCAAGCAGAGAAAUAUCGAAAACUUGAACAACAUAUUAAGUUCAGCAACCCACAAUCUUAUCAUUGAUCAGCAUACUAGUUCACAUUCAUUUUAGUUUUUCUCCAAAUAGUACAAUACGUCUGCAUCGGACAGUUAAAAACAAUACUUGUCUAUCAACUUUUUAAUAUCAAACUGUAGACUUGUAGUCUUCAAGAUCUACUAGAGAAAUAGUGAUCCAUCAAAAUGCAUGAAAUAAUAUUAAAAAGUCAAUAAAAGAAGAGAAUUAUUAUAUUCAAUAAUCAAUACUAAUACCUCACAUAUAAGCUCUAGUAUUUUAGGAGUUCGGACACGCAACUUCAUACUAUGCUAAAACUUUGAUUGCCUAAGUAUGUACCGAGGGUAAUUACGAGUUGAACCAUUAGUUGUUUCACAGGAAAUUAUAAUUAUCACAUAUAUGUACCGAAAGAUAAUAGUUAUAGAAUUUGCAAAAGCUUGUCAACUUUGAGUGCACUGAACUAUUUUUCACAAAUGUUAAAUAACUGUUGAAAAGUACAAAAGGGGAGGAGAAAGCAGAGAGAAGCGCCUAAUAAAUCACCUGUAAUAAAUUUUCUUGAUCUCAACAAGUUUGUAGUUCUGCAAUUUCUU